UUUUCUAUAGAGUUGAAUUUCCUAGUGCGGUUACUAUCUGUGCAAUGAACUUUGACUCUAAUAACUUUGCACCCACUCGACAGAUUUUCUUUAAACUUUGCCAGAGUGAAGAACUGAAAGUUCCAGCAGAUUAAAUGUCCAACGACUAAAAUCGUAUGGUGGAGUUUUGAGAUAUAAGUUUCAAAAAUUCCUAUGGACUUUUCAAUGCAAAAUAAUUUCCAAAGUGGGAUCGCUACGGUGCAAUCACUAAAUGGCUAAUAACUACCCCAAUAUACAUCACACAAUGGAUUUCUUUCUAUUUUGGAAUCAGCGCUGAGAAAUACGUACGAAAAAUGUAUUUGUAGAAUCCUAUCUUCGAAAUAAAAAAGUAGGUCAUAUGCAGAUAGUAACCGCGACCUCAAUACGGCCAAAUUAAUUCUUUAAUAUUUUUUCAACCACUUGACCAAUUUUCACCAGUGAGCACUUGUUCGAUGAUAAUUAUGUUUCAAAUGUUUUGGAAUACAUAUCAUGGUUAUAUAACAUCAUGUGUGACUGUACAACGUGAUUUAUGUUUCGAAUAAAACCCGCGGUUCGCUUAUGCACCAACGACGACCCUUAUAUAGGGAGUACCCUACUCACUCGGGCUCCUAUAGGCGGCCCGAGAGCCAUACUCGGCCGCCAAAAAUGCAAUUUUGGUGCGAUUUUGAUGCGGUUUUCUGUGCCCUAGGGGAUUUUCCGGGCUGAACACGAAUUUCGCACAAUCAGAAAGGGUUUUCCACGUGUUUGGGGGAAAUUUCGCUUGUUUUACCGCAUUCGGAAUUAAAUCCGCGGUUACUAUCGGGACUAAGAUGUACCCUUAUAUGAGGAGUACUACCACUCCUCCGGGGUGGUCCGACGGACCGCCCUAUAAGACAGCUACGGCCCAGUGACACAUUGUCGGGCCAUAUAUGAGCGUCUUGCAUUAUCCGUGGUUAUUUGAGCUCUGCUCUCCGGUUCCAAAUGCGUUCAGGGUCCGGCCUUCGAUGCGAGAACGCGUGCCGGCCUUCUAUGGUGUCGUUCAGCGUAUGCACCUUAGCCUGUUAUGGUGUGCUGCGUUGGCGCAUCCACCUACGGGUUUCCAGUCCCAUUCCUUUCGAUCUGUUAUAGUUACGGGCGCAUUCCGGUGGAGGGCAGGCAUACAGUUCUGUCAUUUGCUGGUCUGUGCGCAGUUCUCUUUACAAUGAUAAUCCGACCGACAAGUCCUGCAAGCUGGGCAGGCGCGAAGCUUGUGCUGGCGGUGACUAUUCGAUAAACCCGCUAUUAUCCGCACGGGUGCAAACCAUCCACGUAGUUGAGGGCCUGCGUGGUUGCACUAUAUCACACGCGACGUGCGAUUCCUAUGUGAGCUGGGGUAGGAAAACGUGCGCAAGGCGUUCGUGCUUAUAUAUACGAAGCCAACCAAUCCUUAAGAGGUGGCUCACUGUGUGAACA
This 1449-nucleotide unclassified non-coding RNA is filed under the name Carassotrema koreanum. RNAcentral's name for it is "external transcribed spacer". The record is from RNAcentral. Lineage: Eukaryota; Metazoa; Platyhelminthes; Trematoda; Plagiorchiida; Haploporidae.